Long non-coding RNA from Biomphalaria glabrata, 1102 nucleotides. RefSeq lists it as uncharacterized. The record is from RefSeq and is a predicted model, not a curated record. The transcript has 3 exons. Lineage: Eukaryota; Metazoa; Mollusca; Gastropoda; Planorbidae.
UUAAAACGCCGUCAGCAGCGUGAGUACCAACUGUACCAAGAAGUUUCUGUUAAACCAAUGAUAGAAUUCACACUCGAGCAAUAGUGUGUUUGUCACAUUUGAUCCACCCCUCUCACACCAUGAUGAUAGGCCUUCCCUGACAGAUGGUGAACUGCUAUGGCUUUACAAAUCUGCCUCGAGGGCAUUGCCCUACUCCUUAUCAUUUUGGCCAAACUCACUCUAAUCAGCUACACGUUUACAGCCAUUUUGGUAUGUCUGUUAGACAAGGAUUUGCACAAAUGGUUCCACAAACCAAAGCUGAACAGACGUAUUCGAAAGACGAGGGCGGCCCUAUGCGUCAUAUACACCACUGCGUACAAGAGUCUCGUGCUUCUCUUCUUCAUGGCCUGUAGAAUGGUCGACCUGAUGUCCUCGCCGAUGAUUGUCCUUCCUGUACUCAACUAUCUGACCUGCUACUUUGUUCUUGGGUUUUGUCUGACCGGACUUGUCACCGCUUUGAACCACUUUGCAAUAUUAUAUAGACAUUGGCUUUUAGAGAUUGAUAGAGAACGGGUGAUUAAUUCGACUCUGUUUUACUAACUAAUGCUUGCUCUUCUUCCUAUAAGGAAGGGGGAAUGGAUCACAAAACAAUAUUUCCAAAAGGCCCCUGUUGUGUUGUCAGCUGGUUUUAACUGCUGCACCCACCAUGUAUUUGAAAGUUUUUUCUAAGAUGGCACUUUACUAAGUGCCUCUUUGGCGUACCAGUCUUUUUCAUGUAGAGAGAGGGAACGGUUCCAUUUUAUGGGCCAAGGAAAUCUCAUUACUUUGUUUGGAAAUGAAAUAUCUUUGUAAUUAAUACUAAAAUGACGAUUCCUUUUAAUGUUUAAAGAAUUUGGCAGUAUUUUAUAUACACUAUCCCAAUAAAUAAAUAAAAAGGUUUGAGAUUUAAAAUGUCCUCAUUAACAUCGAUAUCUCUUUGCAGAAAUUAAGUUCUGUAUAUAAGUCCAGAGACAAGAAAUGUGUCUUUGCUCUUAGCAUCAUGUUUUAUUAGAAUGAGUUUGUGUUUUAAGGCUGAACUCCGAGACUAAUAAAAAAACAACAAAGAAUGUACCUAAAGUUGAAA